Molecule: ribosomal RNA, 253 nt
Filed under: uncultured bacterium
Lineage: Bacteria
Description: partial 16S ribosomal RNA
Rfam family: Bacterial small subunit ribosomal RNA
Source: RNAcentral
UACAGAGGGUGCAAGCGUUGCUCGGAAUCAUUGGGCGUAAAGGGCAAGUAGGUGGUCUCAUUUGUCUUGUGUGAAAUCCUUGGGCUUAACUCAAGAAGUGCGCAAGAAACGGUGAGACUCGAGUUCUGGAGAGGGUCGUGGAAUUCCCGGUGUAGCGGUGAAAUGCGUAGAGAUCGGGAGGAACACCAGAGGCGAAGGCGGCGACCUGGACAGACACUGACACUCAACUGCGAAAGCGUGGGGAGCAAACAGG